Molecule: transfer RNA, 53 nt
Filed under: Bavayia geitaina
Lineage: Eukaryota; Metazoa; Chordata; Lepidosauria; Squamata; Diplodactylidae
Description: partial tRNA-Cys
Source: RNAcentral
UCAAAUUGCAAAUUUGAAAGAGUUCCUUUUUGGUUCCGGGGCUUCUCCCGUUU